AUUGAACGCUGGCGGCAGGCCUAACACAUGCAAGUCGAGCGAGUGGCGGACGGGUGAGUAAUGUAUGUGGUCCUGCCCGAUCGAGGGGGAUAACUACUGGAAACGGUGGCUAAUACCGCUUACUAUCAGAUGAACCCCUAUGGGAUUAGCUAGUAGGUGGGGUAAAGGAUCACCUAGGCGACGAUCUCUAGCUGGUCUGAGAGUAUGAUCAGCAACACUGUGACGGCGAUGAGGCGCAGAAUCCGACGGGAGGCAGGAGUGGGGAAUAUUAGACAGUGGGCGGAAGGGUGAUGCAGCCAUGCGGCGUAUAUUAAGAGGGCCUAAGGGGUGUAGAGGACUUCCAGCGGGGAGGCGUUACCCGAAGAAGAAGCACCGGCUAACUCCGUGCCAGCCGCCGCGGUAAUAC
Molecule: ribosomal RNA, 406 nt
Filed under: uncultured bacterium
Lineage: Bacteria
Description: partial 16S ribosomal RNA
Rfam family: Bacterial small subunit ribosomal RNA
Source: RNAcentral